AUAUCAUCUUGGGGGUGCUGUCUUUUCCACUGUCUUCAGUGACCACCGGUAAACGAUAGCUGAGAUUAAACCCUUGUAACUUGAUGCAGGUAAUGCUGACGCAAGAAAAGAUGAAGCUGGCCUU
Molecule: non-coding RNA, 124 nt
Filed under: Chlorobium phaeobacteroides
Lineage: Bacteria; Pseudomonadati; Chlorobiota; Chlorobiia; Chlorobiales; Chlorobiaceae
Also listed under: 1 other name
Description: TPP sequence
Rfam family: TPP riboswitch aptamer (THI element)
About the family: Vitamin B(1) in its active form thiamin pyrophosphate (TPP) is an essential coenzyme that is synthesised by coupling of pyrimidine and thiazole moieties in bacteria.
Source: RNAcentral